Molecule: ribosomal RNA, 433 nt
Filed under: uncultured bacterium
Lineage: Bacteria
Description: partial 16S ribosomal RNA
Rfam family: Bacterial small subunit ribosomal RNA
Source: RNAcentral
AACGAACGCUGGCGGCAUGCCUAACACAUGCAAGUCGAACGAGACCUUCGGGUCUAGUGGCGCACGGGUGCGUAACGCGUGGGAACCUGCCCUUAGGUUCGGAAUAACUCCCCGAAAGGGGUGCUAAUACCGGAUAAUGUCUUCGGACCAAAGAUUUAUCGCCUUUGGAUGGGCCCGCGUUGGAUUAGCUAGUUGGUAGGGUAAAAGCCUACCAAGGCGACGAUCCAUAGCUGGUCUGAGAGGAUGAUCAGUCACACUGGGACUGAGACACGGCCCAGACUCCUACGGGAGGCAGCAGUGGGGAAUAUUGGACAAUGGGCGAAAGCCUGAUCCAGCAAUGCCGCGUGAGUGAUGAAGGCCUUAGGGUUGUAAAGCUCUUUUACCCGGGAUGAUAAUGACAUUACCGGGAGAAUAAGCUCCGGCUAACUCCGUG